Molecule: ribosomal RNA, 460 nt
Filed under: uncultured bacterium
Lineage: Bacteria
Description: partial 16S ribosomal RNA
Rfam family: Bacterial small subunit ribosomal RNA
Source: RNAcentral
CCUACGGGAGGCAGCAGUGAGGAAUAUUGGUCAAUGGGCGCUAGCCUGAACCAGCCAAGUAGCGUGAAGGAUGAAUGCCCUAUGGGUUGUCAACUUCUUUUAUAUGGGAAUAAAGUGCAGUAUGUAUACUGCUUUGCAUGUACCUUAUGAAUAAGUAUCGGCUAACUCCGUGCCAGCAGCCGCGGUAAUACGGAGGAUCCGAGCGUUAUCCGGUUUUAUUGGGUUUAAAGGGAGCGUAGGCGGGUUGUUAAGUCAGUUGUGAAAGUUUGCGGCUCAAACGUAAAAUUGCAGUUGAUACUGGCAUCCUGGAGUACAGUAGAGGUAGGCGGAAUUCGUGGUGUAGCGGUGAAAUGCUUAGAUAUCACGAAGAACUCCGAUUGCGAAGGCAGCCUGCUGGACUGUAACUGACGCUGAUGCUCGAAAGUGUGGGUAUCAAACAGGAUUAGAUACCCGAGUAGUC